UGGCACCAGCAUCUGCUUCUGGUAAGAACCUCAAGAAGCUUCCAAUUAUGGCGGAAGGUGAAGAGGAAACAGGCAUAUCUCCUGUGACACCUGUCCUGG
Molecule: long non-coding RNA, 99 nt
Organism: Sapajus apella (tufted capuchin)
Lineage: Eukaryota; Metazoa; Chordata; Mammalia; Primates; Cebidae
Exons: 3
Source: RefSeq, a predicted model, not a curated record